AGAGUUUGAUCAUGGCUCAGGAUGAACGCUGGCGGCGUGCCUAAUACAUGCAAGUCGUGCGAGAUCUUCGGAUCUAGCGGCGAACGGGUGAGUAACACGUGGGCAACCUGCCCCUAAGACUGGGAUAACUCCGAGAAAUCGGAGCUAAUACCAGAUAACCUUUUUCCUCGCAUGAGGAAAAAGUAAAAGGCUUCGGCCACUUAGGGAUGGGCCCGCGGCGCAUUAGCUAGUUGGUGAGGUAACGGCUCACCAAGGCGACGAUGCGUAGCCGACCUGAGAGGGUGAUCGGCCACACUGGGACUGAGACACGGCCCAGACUCCUACGGGAGGCAGCAGUAGGGAAUUUUCCGCAAUGGGCGAAAGCCUGACGGAGCAACGCCGCGUGAGUGAAGACGGCCUUCGGGUUGUAAAACUCUGUUCUUGGGGAAGAAGAAAGUGACGGUACCCAAGGAGAAAGCCCCGGCUAACUACGUGCCAGCAGCCGCGGUAAUACGUAGGGGGCGAGCGUUAUCCGGAUUUAUUGGGCGUAAAGCGCGCGCAGGCGGUCAGGUAAGUCGGAUGUGAAAGGCUACGGCUCAACCGUAGAGCGGCAUCCGAAACUGCUUGACUUGAGUGCAGGAGAGGAGAGUGGAAUUCCCGGUGUAGCGGUGGCAUGCGUAGAGAUCGGGAGGAACACCAGUGGCGAAGGCGACUCUCUGGACUGUAACUGACGCUGAGGCGCGAAAGCGUGGGGAGCAAACAGGAUUAGAUACCCUGGUAGUCCACGCCGUAAACGAUGAGUGCUAGGUGUUGGGGGGACCCCCCUCAGUGCCGCAGGUAACCCAAUAAGCACUCCGCCUGGGGAGUACGGUCGCAAGACUGAAACUCAAAGGAAUUGACGG
Molecule: ribosomal RNA, 881 nt
Filed under: uncultured bacterium
Lineage: Bacteria
Description: bacterial SSU rRNA
Rfam family: Bacterial small subunit ribosomal RNA
Source: RNAcentral